GGAGUCUGUGGGGCAGGUAGCAGU
This 24-nucleotide non-coding RNA is filed under the name Arabidopsis thaliana (thale cress). The record is from RNAcentral. Lineage: Eukaryota; Viridiplantae; Streptophyta; Magnoliopsida; Brassicales; Brassicaceae.